ACCGGUAUCUGCAAAAUAAUUUUUACUUUUAUUGAUGAGUCGUAUUCUUAAAUUAUUUAAGUCCUAAUGGACUAAUAAUUAGUUUUUCAUUAUUUAUUUAUGUAUUAGUCUAUUUUUCCCCGACCCUCUAUACAGAUAUAUGUAUUUACACCAUGUAUAUACAUGGUGCAUAUACAUAUAUGUGUAUAGAGCAAUAUGAAAUCGGGCCAGCCUUUAAUGAAAAUGGAUAGGACCAGGCCCAGUCCAACAAAAGGACCAGACCCGGUCCAUUAAACGGCUUAAAGGAGGGGGGAGCCUUAUACUCCUCCCCGUCAUUUUCUAUUUGGCCCUAGGAGCCUGUGUGCAAAGAGGAGAAGAAGGAGGCGGCUAGAAGUAAGCCUAACGCCGCCUGGCUGUACGCACCACCUACCCGCCCCUUCUUGGCCACGUCUCAUCUGUCUAGAAGCACGUAAUACGGAGGAGAGGACGAAGCAUUAAAAGCUUUGUCCUUCUCUCACCAGAAAAUAGCCAAACAAGACCUUAAAGGAGAGAGGAUCCUCCAAAUCCACUUUUGGUCUUGGCCCUGUCCAAAAAAGGUAACAAUUGCUCUUAUUAUUUCCUUUUUUUAGUUUCAGUUGCUUUCGAUGUUUGUUCUUGUUUAGUAAUAUGUGUCCUUGUUAUUUUUUAGUGAUUUAGGGAUUGGGUUUUGUUAGCUGUAAAUUUAGUGUUUCUUCAUUUUGUGUUGUGAAGUAAUUUAUGCCUUUUUAGUUACAUCUUCUUUAGCUUCUGUUAUUAUUGUUCCAAAUGGUUUGUGGGUUCUGAUUUUUGCUGAUUGUGGAUUUAGCAUUUCUUUUAUCCUUACUGUUACAACUUGUGUUCAUUUAGAGUGUUAUUCCUUAGUAUAGAUUGUUGGUUCAUAAGUUGAUUACCUACACCAUCUUUUCUAGUUUGGAUUAAGUAUCACUCAGUUACUUAAUUCAUAGUUUUAACUGUCUAAAAAAUUGGUUUUGAAGUGAAAAAGGUGCUUUACUUGUAAACUGUUUGCAAACUAUUUGAUUAUGUGAUUCCAGUGUGAAAUUUAGUCAUCUUGUGACUUGUUUUUGAUGAACUUACUUGUUUAGAAACUGCAUUAAUUGUCUGAGAUUGACUAGUAGUUAAAGGGUGAUCAUCGGGAUUGAAAUUUGGCAUUUAAAUGCAUUGGAUGUGUCCAGGACCUUGUUUCUUGCCUGUACAAUUUAAAAUAAUAUAGAACUAGGACUUUGAAUCACUUUGUGAUAGUUUAUUGAACGAGAUUGCACUAGUAAAUGCCUAAGUAAUGGAUUUUAUUCUUUUCAAAAAGGGUCAACAUUGGUUCUUUGAAACUGUUUGGAUUACCUUAUGUUCAGUUAACUUGUUUGCAUUACAUUUGAUUGUUUUCCUGGAAAGAAUGAAUUUCAAAGUAAAGAAUGAGACUAGGAAAAGGGUUAAGUUCAAAAAAGUCUUAUUGUUUGAUUUUCUCUGUCUGGUUUGGUCUGCUUAGUCCUAAUUGCUCUUUUAUUGUCAUCUGAAAGUUUGUUCUAUAGUCAAGUGCUGGUUUUUAUCAUGAAAUCCCCUUUGCGAUUUCUGUUUCUUUCAAACUUUAGUUAAGGGUCUUAUUUGUAUGAGUCUGGUAUUAAUGGAAUAGUGUUAAAUGAUUGAAAAGGUUCUUGUGCGUUGUUUUGGUCUAAAAAGAAUAGAGUCAUUUCGUUUUAUGUUAUCAUACCUCACUUAGCUUAAGUAGUAUCAAAAGAAUGAAAAGUUAAAAGAAAUUGAGUUAGUUUGAAGGUCUGUGGAGGGUAAAGUUAAAUUCUGGAUUCUCUUUUGAUUUGAGUACUAUUUGACAUAAGUUGACUGCCUGGAUGUCUGUACUUGGUUGUUUGUUGUCACUUUAUUUAAAAGACAAGAAGAGAAGUUCUGGGGUUUGCUAAGUGUCUGAUUGUCUUUCUUGAUCAAAAUAGUUGACAUGGACUGGUCAACACAUUUUUUCCAAAAAAUAACAUCUAAUCUUUUAUCAUCUGUGCUUGUUUGGUUCUCAUGGAUUGAUUCAGGAAAAUAGGGAUUUAGUUUUCAUAAACAAGUGUGGUUUAUUCUUGCUGUGAUCCAUGUGCUUAAUACUUGCCUAUGUGAACUCUCUCUCUUCUGUGUAUGGUGAAUCUUGAUGGGACUUGUUUUGCUAAAACUUGUACUUAUUCUGGGAAGAAUCAAUUUUAUAUAUUUGUCAUACUCAAUUUUUUCUAAAAGAUUUGUUGAUACUAAUUUCAAACCUUAAGGUCAUGGACCCAUUGGUAUAGUUGAAUUUCUUCUGGGAUUAGAUUUCUAGCUUCCUUUUUCACCAAACAUAGAACACUAAUAUUUGGCAUACCCUCACUUGUCUUUUUAGAAACAGAACUUGAUAUCCUUGAUUGAUUAUAUUAGUUACUUUCUUCAAAAGGAAUUUGUCACUUCAAACCUACUUAUUUUGUAAUAAGCCUAGUAAACAGGAAGCCAGUUCUAGCUUCUCUCUUUGUUUGAUAAAAAUGAAUAAGGAUUAAAGACCUAUUUGAGUCCAUUGGACUAAAAUGAUGAUCUUUCUUUCUUGUCCUAUCCUUAAGUUAUCUGUUGUUGUGGUAUUUUGUGCUUUGUUCAUCUUUACAAGAGUGCAAAUUCAGUUUCCUAUACCUGUGUGAUGUUUGCAGUACCUACUCACACCUGUUUUUUUUAUUUAAGUUUUAAACUUGCUGAGAAACCUCUUUUCUUGAAUAAUAGUGUGAUUUACAAAUGAAUGAUAUAUCCUUGGCUUAAAUAAAUGAGAGUGUCUGUUUGUUUCUAGAACUAAAAGUGAGACUGGUUGACUCUUUUCUCUCAAAAAACCAGUGUGUGCAAAUUCUUCUUCCUUUUCUUAGUUUAUGGCUGUGAAGUGUCUGAGUUCUUGAAAAAACUGAAUUUGUAUGAACUUGAUACUUCCUUCAGAACCAAACAUAAGGUGCUUGUUAUUCUCCAAAACUGUUCCUGUUGAUUUAAUUGACCUAUCCCCUUUCAAGACUAAGUUGUAGAGUGUUCAUUAUCUUUAAAAAGCUAUUUGUAUGAGUUGUAUGAUCCUUUAAAGAUCAAGUGUGCAAAACUGUAUGACCUUUUCUUAGAACUUAAUUUGUCAAGUGACAGUUUCCCUUUUAAAAGCCAAGAGUGUGUUUGUUUGUUCUUUUCUUAAACCUGGUUGAGGAGAGUGUGCUUUUUUCAGGAUUAUAUGUGAACAUUAUUGCUUUCAAACUUUAUGUGGAUGUGUGCCUCUUUCUCUUCUUUAUUCUCUUCUUUUAAACUGAUUUAUGCCAAUGGGAUGUCCUGAUUUUGUUCAAGUCUGUGUACACUUAACUAGGCUGUCCUGUUUACUCUGUUGUUCUCAAUACUGAAUCCAUCAAAAGCUUUUCUCACAGUAAAAAGAUCAUAUUCACUAACCUGUGGACUUGAUGGCUUAAAGAUGUUGCUUAUUUUUUGGUUGUAUAGUUCCUGAUGAUGUGAAUUGUAACACUUCUAAUUGUGUGUUGAACUAAUGUGUCACUUAUCUCACUCUAGGCCAUGUCUAAGUUGUACUGUGCAGGAUCAGUUUCCAACUUGUCUCCAUUGUUAUGAAUUGGGUUUCUUUUCUAGAAAAAUUCUAUUGAGUUGAAUGUUGCUCCCCUAACUUGCUUUUCUGUGUAAUGCUUUAAGACCUCUUAACUGGAUUAACUAAUCUCCUCUUUCACCUAGAAUAGGGUCUAGUUCUAAUCACAUCUUAUAUGAAAUGAUGUCUUUGAAAAUCCAGUCCAAUUUUGAUAUCUGGUGAUCUGUUUCAUGUCUGGUGUUUAAGACAGACUUCAUCUUGUUUCCUCUACCUUCUCUUGUCCAUUCAACCUUACUAUCUCUCCCUAAAGUUGUAUAGUUCUUUAUUUUUUAAACUGGAUAUGACUAUAAUAUACUUUGCCAUUAUUGUGCAUAAUAGUGGAUUGUUCUGAAUAGAAAUAACAUUUGGUCACCAUGAUAGAGUAGUUAUUUGGACCUGUUAAUUGAGAUGGGCUUUUCCUUCAAAAGUGUUUAUGAAAGAGUGUCGUAGUUGGCUUUUAUUUAUAAAAUACUAUGCUUGGAUGUUAUUUUGAUCCUGGGAUGAGCAGAACUGCCACAGUAUUGGACUUAUCCUUUUUGGGCUCACUUUUUGGGUCUAUUCCUUUAGCCUUGACACCCAUGUCUCAGAUUGGGCCCAAUAAAGAGAUGAUAGUUAUAUUUAGCAGGGACUAUCCAUUUAUCUUUUCCAUUAUGUAAUUCAUUUCCUUUUAUGUAAAGUUAUAAAUAGUUAGAAGUAUUGUUCUUUGUUUUUUCAUUUAUUACUGUCCAGUAUAGGCUUAUAUCCAUGUGUGAUUUGUGUACUCUCCAUGUAUACUAAAUUGUUGGGAUAUGUAUUAGGACCUGGUUUGGUAAUUCUGGGUAGUUUUAGUCUCCUCGGUGUUAACCAUGCCUGGGAUUCUUUGAAACCCUUUGGAACUUGUGCAACAUCGGGAAUACGAGGCUGAAACCCAGUGCCCAUGCCAAUACUAAGCCUUAAAAUAAAUCCCUAUAGGCAGUCUCAAUAUAUGGGGGCAAGUAUAUGAUCUUUUAUAUAGUGUGUGUGUUUAUAUAUAUACAUGUGUGUUUGAUUAUUCUAGUUAUAAGAGCAGUUAAAUAUAAACUAACCAAUUCCCCUUUUUUUUUUUUUUUUCCUUUUCCACCUCUACUUGCAUGACCGCUUGGGUCCAAACCAGCCCCUGUUGGGCCAAAGGCCCAAUGGGAUUUCUCAUUUACAUUAAGAUCGGGUCUAUGGAGAAAAAUGAUAGCGAGGCGUGCAGAAGGCCCAGCCAUGGGUGAAAAUGGCCACUAGGGGCUUGGUACGCCCCUAGUUUAAAAUUUGUUUCCAUAUAUGUAUGAUCCUAUGUGUAUGUAAUUAUAUGUAUUCAACUCAUAUUAUAGUGGAAAAUACUUAUGAUUAGAA
Lycium ferocissimum is the source of this 4972-nucleotide long non-coding RNA. RefSeq lists it as uncharacterized. Lineage: Eukaryota; Viridiplantae; Streptophyta; Magnoliopsida; Solanales; Solanaceae. The record is from RefSeq and is a predicted model, not a curated record. The transcript has 2 exons.